GAUGAACGCUGGCGGCGUGCCUAAUACAUGCAAGUCGAGCGAACGGACGAGAAGCUUGCUUCUCUGAUGUUAGCGGCGGACGGGUGAGUAACACGUGGAUAACCUACCUAUAAGACUGGGAUAACUUCGGGAAACCGGAGCUAAUACCGGAUAAUAUUUUGAACCGCAUGGUUCAAAAGUGAAAGACGGUCUUGCUGUCACUUAUAGAUGGAUCCGCGCUGCAUUAGCUAGUUGGUAAGGUAACGGCUUACAAAGGCAACGAUGCAUAGCCGACCGGAGAGGUGGAUCGGCCACACUGGAACUGGGACACGGUCCAGACUCCUACGGGAGGCAGCAGUAGGGAAUCUUCCGCAAUGGGCGAAAGCCUGACGGAGCAACGCCGCGUGGUUGAUGAAGGUCUUCGGAUCGUAAAACUCUGUUAUUAGGGAAGAACAUAUGUGUAAGUAACUGUGCACAUCGUGACGGUACCUAAUCAGAAAGCCACGGCUAACUACGUG
This 497-nucleotide ribosomal RNA is filed under the name uncultured bacterium. RNAcentral describes it as "partial 16S ribosomal RNA". It matches the Rfam family "Bacterial small subunit ribosomal RNA", at positions 28 to 507 of the family's 1533-position model. The record is from RNAcentral.